UUGGCUCAGGACGAACGCUGGCGGCGCGCCUAGCACAUGCAAGUCGAACGAGAGAUGAGGAGCUUGCUCUUCAAAUCGAGUGGCGAACGGGUGAGUAACGCGUGAGGAACCUGCCUCAAAGAGGGGGACAACAGUUGGAAACGACUGCUAAUACCGCAUAAGCCCACGGCUCGGCAUCGAGCAGAGGGAAAAGGAGCAAUCCGCUUUGAGAUGGCCUCGCGUCCGAUUAGCUAGUUGGUGAGGUAACGGCCCACCAAGGCGACGAUCGGUAGCCGGACUGAGAGGUUGAACGGCCACAUUGGGACUGAGACACGGCCCAGACUCCUACGGGAGGCAGCAGUGGGGAAUAUUGCACAAUGGGGGAAACCCUGAUGCAGCGACGCCGCGUGGAGGAAGAAGGUCUUCGGAUUGUAAACUCCUGUUGUUGAGGAAGAUAAUGACGGUACUCAACUAGGAAGUGACGGCUAACUACGUGCCAGCAGCCGCGGUAAAACGUAGGUCACAAGCGUUGUCCGGAAUUACUGGGUGUAAAGGGAGCGCAGGCGGGAGAGCAAGUUGGAAGUGAAAUCCAUGGGCUCAACCCAUGCACUGCUUUCAAAACUGUUUUUCUUGAGUAGUGCAGAGGUAGGCGGAAUUCCCGGUGUAGCGGUGGAAUGCGUAGAUAUCGGGAGGAACACCAGUGGCGAAGGCGGCCUACUGGGCACCAACUGACGCUGAGGCUCGAAAGUGUGGGUAGCAAACAGGAUUAGAUACCCUGGUAGUCCACACCGUAAACGAUGAUUACUAGGUGUUGGAGGAUUGACCCCUUCAGUGCCGCAGUUAACACAAUAAGUAAUCCACCUGGGGAGUACGACCGCAAGG
RNAcentral lists this ribosomal RNA (861 nucleotides) under uncultured bacterium. RNAcentral describes it as "bacterial SSU rRNA". It matches the Rfam family "Bacterial small subunit ribosomal RNA", at positions 19 to 893 of the family's 1533-position model. The record is from RNAcentral.